GAUAUGUGUGAAUGAUGUCUUACUGGUAAAAAGACGGAACGUCCCUGCAUGUGUGAACAGCACAUUUUUUUGCACAAACUGUGAAUCUAAGCUGUAUAUAAAUCACUUUCUAUUCCUGUUCAUCAAUGUGUUUAUCCUGUAAUAAUCUCAGUUAUAUUGCGUUGUGUAAACACUGCUAAUGGUGUAAAAUGUGUCAUUUAAGACACGUCUGUUUAUAUGUUAUUGUGAUAAUGUAUGAGGGCAGAAGCUGUAGCUAUAUUUCUUAAUGUUAUGUAUGUUUAUGUGCAGUAGUGUUACUUUGGGAAUCCUGUUGUUAUCUGUUGCAGGGAAAACACAUCUCCACCUGCCUAUGAUCUAUAUGGCUGUGGCUACCCAGAUAGCAUGCAACCAUUGAAACAAUGUUAAAAAUUGUUGAUUUGUCAAUGUUAAUACAAUUGAAUCAAUAUCACGUUUGCACCCUCCAUUAAAGGACAAGUUCGGUAUUUUACACUUAAAGCCCUGUUUUCAGAUUGUUUAUGGUGAAAUAGAACGGUUUUGACUGAAAUUUCGACAUAUGCGGCUGCCCUGAGAAUUUUCGGGUGUUUGUGUUUCACCUCACACCUCUAAUGGGUUUAAUGGUGCACUGGAACAAUCCUUCCUAAAAUGCAUUAAACUUUCGUUUACAAAGACGUGAAACUCACUGAGUGGUCAGGGGUGUUCACUGAUAUGCUCACACAAAAAUCGCUGCAAAAGAUGCUUUCCAACAGCUGUUUUAGCAUUUGUUAACUUGUGGACCUUUUUUUCCAAACGCCUCACACCCGUACAUUCUUCCGCUUAGAGCUUGAAUAAUAGACACUCCAGCCCAGGUGGUGGCGGUAAUCCGCCAUUGCCAAUUGCAAGAAUAGAAACAAAUGCUGAGUCCCAAUCCCAAUUCGCAUACUAUCCAUCCUAAAUAGUAUUUGAAAUUAGUAUGUCCCAAAUCGUAGUAUGUUGAAAUGAGUAUCCCAAAGAUACCCGGAUGGUGUACUAUUUCCGGUUGGAAUUCGAAGUGCAGAUCAAUGCACACUGUAAGGGCUAAUAUUGCCCACAAUCAUUGCGUGCGGGAGGGAGGAGAUUAACCACACUGACCCUCUUGCUUAUUUGUAGUAAUACUGUGGCUGUACAAAUGUUAACUUUAUUAGUCCAACGAAAGAAACAUGGUUACUACACUUUUACUAUAGUAAAAGCAUGGUUCAUUUUCAUCUGGGUAUUUUUGAGUUAUAUAAAAUUAAGUAUAAAAUACGUUAAACGGUAGUUAUACUAUAAACUUUUUAAUAUUUUGACUUUAAAAUAAGUAGCUUUCGUUACACACAUUGCACAUGAACGUCAGAACCAGCCGCCUCACAAACGACCUGUGUUUGGUUCAAGAGGGUCUGGCUGCAGACCAUGGGCGAGUGGAGCUCCACUCUCAAACAGGAAACACGUGACCUCCACUAGCGGGCAAGCGGAAAUACGUCACCUCCACUAGCGGGCAAGCGGAAAUACGUCACCUCCACUUGAAUUUAUGAGAUGAAGAUGGCGUCGCCGGGAGCUCUUAGUUCGAACUUUAAUUCAGUUGCCAGAUGAUAUUCUCCAGAGGAUCCUUGUCUUUGUUGUUCUAGAAGACGGCUGCUCUGCAAUCCGGCUGGCUUUAACAAGACAGAGAUUCAGCAAACAUUGACAGCCAGGAGCAUUUUCAGCAGGAGGAACACUUCAGCUGGCCUUAUAGUGUAGUAAAUUGAAAUAGACUGUCAAAGAGACACCGGAGAAUGUACAGAAAACCGUAAAUCAUCUCUAGGUGUAGCCGCCUACAGUGCAGCAAGUUUUCAAAGACUAUGGGGCUGGCUUCUGGGGAAAUGACAACCCUGG
This is a non-coding RNA of Misgurnus anguillicaudatus (oriental weatherfish), 1866 nucleotides long. NCBI's taxonomy places the organism in Eukaryota, Metazoa, Chordata, Actinopteri, Cypriniformes, Cobitidae. The record is from RefSeq and is a predicted model, not a curated record.